CACUCAUCGAGACCGGCUGAGGGACAGGCCCUUUGAAGCCGGGGCAACCUGCAGGUGAUUCCUGCAAAACGGUGCCAACUCCUGCGGGGCGCUUCGGCGUCAACCGGUAGAUGGGAU
Molecule: non-coding RNA, 117 nt
Filed under: Rhodanobacter spathiphylli
Lineage: Bacteria; Pseudomonadati; Pseudomonadota; Gammaproteobacteria; Lysobacterales; Rhodanobacteraceae
Description: Rhodanobacter sp. SAM-I sequence
Rfam family: SAM riboswitch aptamer (S box leader)
About the family: The SAM riboswitch is found upstream of a number of genes which code for proteins involved in methionine or cysteine biosynthesis in Gram-positive bacteria. The SAM riboswitch acts at the level of transcription termination control. The predicted structure consists of a complex stem-loop region followed by a single stem loop terminator region.
Source: RNAcentral